GCCAGUGUGGUGUAGUGGUUUGAGCAUUAGACUGCAACUCUGGAGAUUAGGGUUUGAUUCCCUGCUUGGUCA
This 72-nucleotide transfer RNA is filed under the name Phrynosoma platyrhinos (Desert horned lizard). RNAcentral's name for it is "tRNA-OTHER". It matches the Rfam family "tRNA". From Rfam's summary of the family: Transfer RNA (tRNA) molecules are approximately 80 nucleotides in length. Lineage: Eukaryota; Metazoa; Chordata; Lepidosauria; Squamata; Phrynosomatidae. The record is from RNAcentral.